UAAUUUUUGACAUACUUUAUUUGUUAACAUACGGAAAUCAUCAAAUAUAAAGUUUAUUUUGGUUAGAAAAAAUAGAAAGUAGUAUGAUUAUGAUAUAUGACAAAAUCUAUUAUGUAUAUUAAAACAAUACAUUUUGGUGCCACUUGGCAUAAUUUUAAUCCACUAAUUGCCACCUGGCAAGUUAAUACUCCUCUCAAUAUUGUUUUAGGCGCUAAACCUUUUGUUUCUUACACACGCUUCUUUUUUCAAUUCUUUGUAACCCUAAUAAGCAUCUCAGUCUUCCCAUUCUCUCUUCUUCCUCUUCAUCUUCUUUCAUCUUCUUCCAUUAAACCAUCUUUGUUCCUUAUCAACACCUUUCAUACAAUGGCAUUCAAAAUGUCGACGAGGAGAGCUCCGAUUACCCUUUAAUCCACCGCCUCUGACCCGAUUUCAAUGACACCUGACUCUCAAAACCCUAGAUUGCAACUGGAAUCUUGAGAUAGGUUAGAACGAUGGCUAUCGGGAGCCUCCUGUUAGGCAUUUUCAAAGUUUCAAACGGAUUGAUCGCCGGAUCUUCCACUCUAGGGUUUCAGAUUGAAAGAUUGUAUAUUUAUAAGGACCCCUUAUCAUCGCUUCUCUGGUCCUGAAAAGUCUCUAAGUUAAAGUUACAGGUUUCUGGUAUGUGGUCCCGGAAGAAGAAAUCUCAACCGAUCAUCUUUUCAACGCCGAGCACCACUUCAGUUGAUUGAUAAAUAUUUUUGCUUUUGUAGAUUGGGACUCGGCUCGUGGAUGUUACAAUCAUCAGGCCAAUACCCACAUCUACAACGUUUAGAAGAAAAACGCCAAGAAGCAGAGGUGUGGGCAAUGGAGCUUGAGAAACAGUAAUCAGUCAUGAGCCGAUACAAGAUCGACAUCAGCGCCCAUUCAAGUCCGUCAAAGAGGCGAUUGCCCUCUUCGGUGAGAGGGUUCUCGCUGGCGAACUUUCUGCCAACAAACGCAAAGAGAUGAAUCCGAUAGAUGGUCUGAUUACCUCACAAGGGCAUUUAGAUGAACUUCUAUGGAAUUUCGAAGGAAGCUUUGUUGUAUUCCCAGGUGUGAUUGUAGAGCCAAGCUUUGUUGGCUAUAGGACACUUUUCAAAGGUAAUGCAUCUAUCUUCAACUAGAUGAUAUUAUUAGUGGUCAAGAAUCUUUAUUUCAAAUACUACAAAUCAACUAUACUAGACUAGCUGAGAAGAUAUCCAUCUGGCGACCCUUAGACGUGAAGCUUAACUUUGGAAAGGCCUAGAACAAAAAUGAUGAUUUACAUGGGCUUCAAUGUCAGUAGAUAUUAUAUGUUUGUAUUAAGCCACCCGCGAAACUCGCGGGAUCUUAGGCUAGUUUAAAAUAAAGAGGAAUGUUAUUUUAGUCAAUUUUAUCCAAUAUUCUACCUUCAUCAUCUCUCUCUAACUUCAAAACCCACAAUCUUCAACUUUUUCUUCACUUUCUAUCUCAAUAAUCAUUACAUUAUAGUGCGAUUUUCGUCAUUAAUCAAUGAUUCAAACCAUGGUUGCAAAAGUCGCUAGGCGCCCCCUAGUCGGAUUCGGGAGUACCCGGGAAGUACUCGGCUUAGGCGGAGAUUACUCGGGGAGUAAUUAUGGAAGAUGGAACACCCUUUCAAGUAUCUAUAAAAUUUAAUAUAAAUUGUAAUUUUUGACAUACUUUAUUUGUUAACAUACGGAAAUCAUCAAAUAUAAAGUUUAUUUUGGUUAGAAAAAAUAGAAAGUAGUAUGAUUAUGAUAUAUGACAAAAUCUAUUAUGUAUAUUAAAACAAUACAUUUUGGUGCCACUUGGCAUAAUUUUAAUCCACUAAUUGCCACCUGGCAAGUUAAUACUCCUCUCAAUAUUGUUUUAGGCGCUAAACCUUUUGUUUCUUACACACGCUUCUUUUUUCAAUUCUUUGUAACCCUAAUAAGCAUCUAAGUCUUCCCAUUCUCUCUUCUUCCUCUUCAUCUUCUUUCAUCUUCUUCCAUUAAACCAUCUUUGUUCCUUAUCAACACCUUUCAUACAAUGGCAUUCAAAAUGUCGACGAGGAGAGCUCCGAUUACCCUUUAAUCCACCGCCUCUGACCCGAUUUCAAUGACACCUGACUCUCAAAACCCUAGAUUGCAACUGGAAUCUUGAGAUAGGUUAGAACGAUGGCUAUCGGGAGCCUCCUGUUAGGCAUUUUCAAAGUUUCAAACGGAUUGAUCGCCGGAUCUUCCACUCUAGGGUUUCAGAUUGAAAGAUUGUAUAUUUAUAAGGACCCCUUAUCAUCGCUUCUCUGGUCCUGAAAAGUCUCUAAGUUAAAGUUACAGGUUUCUGGUAUGUGGUCCCGGAAGAAGAAAUCUCAACCGAUCAUCUUUUCAACGCCGAGCACCACUUCAGUUGAUUGAUAAAUAUUUUUGCUUUUGUAGAUUGGGACUCGGCUCGUGGAUGUUACAAUCAUCAGGCCAAUACCCACAUCUACAACGUUUAGAAGAAAAACGCCAAGAAGCAGAGGUGUGGGCAAUGGAGCUUGAGAAACAGGUAUACAAUGAAAUUUAUUCACAAAUAGUACACUGGCUUGAUGACCAUACAGUUAAGUAGGCUUCUAAUAAGUUUAAUAAUGCAGCAUAUCAAACACUCCUCUAUAAUACGUGUAGUUUCUUAAUUUUAUUUUAGAUAGCUUCAUAUAUGUUCCAACUCUUUUCCCCUCACAUUCCACUUAGUAAUCAGUCAUGAGCCGAUACAAGAUCGACAUCAGCGCCCAUUCAAGUCCGUCAAAGAGGCGAUUGCCCUCUUCGGUGAGAGGGUUCUCGCUGGCGAACUUUCUGCCAACAAACGCAAAGAGGUAAGUGGAUACAAAUCAGUGUCUUAAUAUAUUUUGAUGAAGAUGAUUAUUUGUUUUAGCUUUUAUUCACAAAACUAAAUAUAGAAAUCUAUUUUAAUGGCAUACAUUAUAUGGUUUAGAACAAAUUUGAAUCUAUUAAUACAGUUUACUCGUGAGAAAUCAAAGUCUUAAUAUUUUUUUAUGAUAAAGGAUGAUGACAGGAGGAAUGAGUUAAUUUGUUUUUGCAGUAACUACAAAAAUUAAAAAUAUAAACUGUUUGGCAUGAGAUAUGAUUUGGGGGUGGUGUUAUGGUGGUGUGGAGGGGUGAAGGUGUGUAGACAAGGAAAUAGAGUGAAAGGGGAGGGAAAAGGCAUUUUAGUUAUUUCACAGCCACUUAACUAGACAAACUAACCCCCAUCCACGCUAGGGACUAUCCGAUAACGAAUUUGCAAAACUUGGGGACUAUAGCUGUAAUUUUAAAAAAGUAGGGACUAUAGGUGAAAUCUGGGCAAACCACAGGGACUAUUCGGGCAAUUUUCUCUCAAACUUUUUUAAUACUUGGGUUGGCAUCUUCGUUACGCACCGGUCUUAAUAUCCAAGUGUCGAAGUUCUCAUCCACAUGAAAUUUAGGAUAAUUCUGUUGACACAUUUAAAGAUGAUGGUCUGAUUACCUCACAAGGGCAUUUAGAUGAACUUCUAUGGAAUUUCGAAGGAAGCUUUGUUGUAUUCCCAGGUGUGAUUGUAGAGCCAAGCUUUGUUGGCUAUAGGACACUUUUCAAAGGUAAUGCAUCUAUCUUCAACUAGAUGAUAUUAUUAGUGGUCAAGAAUCUUUAUUUCAAAUACUACAAAUCAACUAUACUAGACUAGCUGAGAAGAUAUCCAUCUGGCGACCCUUAGACGUGAAGCUUAACUUUGGAAAGGCCUAGAACAAAAAUGAUGAUUUACAUGGGCUUCAAUGUCAGUAGAUAUUAUAUGUUUGUAUUAAGCCACCCGCGAAACUCGCGGGAUCUUAGGCUAGUUUAAAAUAAAGAGGAAUGUUAUUU
Molecule: long non-coding RNA, 3849 nt
Organism: Helianthus annuus (common sunflower)
Lineage: Eukaryota; Viridiplantae; Streptophyta; Magnoliopsida; Asterales; Asteraceae
Exons: 18
Source: RefSeq, a predicted model, not a curated record